Small nuclear RNA from Nycticebus coucang (slow loris), 104 nucleotides. Lineage: Eukaryota; Metazoa; Chordata; Mammalia; Primates; Lorisidae. The record is from RefSeq and is a predicted model, not a curated record.
AUGCUUUCUUUGGUAGCAUACGUGCUGAAAUAGGAAAAAUACAGAGAAGAUUAGUAUGUUCCCUGUGCAAGAAAAAAAAAAAAAAAAAGAAUAAUAAUACUGAC